CAGAGUUUACAAACUCCCAACCCAAUUGUGAACAUACUUGCCAGUUGCCUCGGCGGGACGCCCGGCCCUCACGGCACCGGAACCAGGCGCCGCGCAGGACCCAAACUCUGUUUAUAUGAAUCUACCAUUCUGAGUGACUUUUAUUACAAAUAAAUAA
This 157-nucleotide unclassified non-coding RNA is filed under the name soil metagenome. Its description in RNAcentral is "partial internal transcribed spacer 1". The record is from RNAcentral.